UUUGGAAUAUUAUAUGGUUAACUAGAUUUAUUACUUGAAAGACUGAUUCUUACAUCAGUAAGUGAUUUCCUAUACCUUGAGAAAACUAUGGGAUAAUUGUCAGUGAGGUAUCUUAGAUUUCAUUGACAGCAAGAGAUGCUAAUAAGGAUCUUAUCUGAAAAACAUUUUAGCAGUCUAAAUUUCUUGAUGCUUGUUUGCUAUAACCGAGAAAGCUAAAUAAAUCAGAACAAUAUAG
This 235-nucleotide long non-coding RNA is filed under the name Musa acuminata (dwarf banana). RNAcentral describes it as "long non-coding RNA (MACU_LNC002040)". The record is from RNAcentral. Lineage: Eukaryota; Viridiplantae; Streptophyta; Magnoliopsida; Zingiberales; Musaceae.